This 603-nucleotide ribosomal RNA is filed under the name uncultured bacterium. RNAcentral's name for it is "bacterial SSU rRNA". It matches the Rfam family "Bacterial small subunit ribosomal RNA", at positions 908 to 1502 of the family's 1533-position model. The record is from RNAcentral.
AAUUGACGGGGGGGCUCACACAAGCGGUGGAGCAUGUGGCUUUAAUNCGAGNCAANGCGAAGAACCUUAUCCUGGGCUUGACAUCAAUGGAUUAACUCUGUGAAAGCAGAGCCACGCCUUCGGGUGGAACAUUGACAGGUGCUGCAUGGCUGUCGUCAGCUCGUCCGUGAGGUGUUGGGUUAAGUCCUUGAACGAGCGAAACCCUUGUCCUUAGUUGCCAGCACGUAAUGGUGGGGACUNUAAGGAGACCGCCGGUGUCAAACCGGAGGAAGGUGGGGACGACGUCAAGUCAUCAUGGCCUUUAUGCCCAGGGCUGCACACGUGCUACAAUGGUGCGUACAAAGGGAAGCAAACUCGCGAGGGUAAGCAAACCCCAAAAAGCGUACCUCAGUUCGGAUUGCAGGCUGCAACUCGCCUGCAUGAAGCCGGAAUCGCUAGUAAUCGCAGGUCAGCUAUACUGCGGUGAAUAUGUUUCUGAGCCUUGUACACACCGCCCGUCAAGCCACGAAAGCGGGGGGCGCCUAAUGUCGCUGAGCUAACCUUCGGGAAGCAAGCGCCUAGGGUGAACUCCGUGAUCGGGACGAAGUCGUAACAAGGUAGCCG